This 1363-nucleotide long non-coding RNA is filed under the name Mus musculus (house mouse). Its description in RNAcentral is "long non-coding RNA chr7:34655369-34656732". Lineage: Eukaryota; Metazoa; Chordata; Mammalia; Rodentia; Muridae. The record is from RNAcentral.
GGUGGCCACCGCGGGGGAGGGGAGCGCGGGGCACCCGGCCCGUCGCCUGCGGCCACUCGCGCCAUUUCCUGGACGAGCGCGGCGCGAUGGAGACGGCGGCGGCCAAAGGUCCCUGCGGCGCGGAGGCCUGCACCCAGAAUGCCCCUAGCUGCUCCCCCGCUGCCCCUUCCUCCUCCUCCUCCUUCCCUUGCGCCCCGCCCGUCCCUCCUCCUCGACCAUUUCUCGGCUCCUAGGAAACGGAUCGCGGCCGGUGCGCUUUGCCCAGACUGCGCCCCCGCCUGGUUCCCGGGACUCCCGGGCCAAAGGCAGGCUUUCGGCUAGGAAGGCGGGUGCGCUUCGGCCGGGAGCAGCGGCGCGGGCCCCCCUUUACAGACUCCGGCCGGGCCUGGGCGCCCUCUACUGGCCAAACUCCUGGGGGUGCUCUCGAGGCCAGACGGGAACACUGGAGAAAGAUAAUGGGGGUGGGGGCUUGGGGAGAGGACCCAGUCUCCCCUUAUUCAGGGGACCUCUAGUGCGGAGAGAGCAUCCGUCCGCGCGUCUGUAACUUCACGCGGGAAUAAGAAACUUUCCUCCUGAGGGAGUUAUUUAUUUAUUUAUUUAUUAUCUCAAACUACUGGAGAAGGGGGAAAUUUUCUCAUUAAAGUUACAUCCCCGCAGUUAGUUCAAUUACUUGAUAUAUGCAGAAGAUGUUGUAAAUUUAUAGAUUUAAAUAGCUUACAAAGAUGCCGCAGGCCCCAUCAGUUAAUUUCCUUAAUUUAUGGAUUUUAAGCUGCUCCUAGAACAGAAAGGGGCCCGCGAAGUAGGUCAGGGAUCUGUGCUGUGGGGGCCCAUGGUCGCCCACGUUUGCUUCCCAGGCUCUGAAACCACCCUGGACUAGCUCCCAGCUUUGCUUAAACAGUGCUACUCUUCUGGUGAGCAUGCAGGUGAGGGAGGUCCUGUUCGGCUGGAUGGUCUGCUCAGUUCUUUGCUGGCUUCCCCAGGCUUUGGACAGCUCAAGGUAGUAGAACUUAGAAACAGUAAACCCCCCCAGUGUUGAAAAAGCUGACCCUUAGAAUGAGGUGAAAAGCACUUUGCAAGAAUGGUGACCUCAGUAGAGCAAGCUGCUAUGUGAAUGCCCUCAGCUUCAGAGAGAAAACCUUUCCUAGGCUUUGAAACAGGGAGAGCCAGGAGAGUAUGCUAGGCUCACUUGAGGAGUGACGCUCUGAAAACUGCUUGUCACCGCCCGACGGGCCUCAGUACCCCCUCUCUUCUUGUCACCUGCAUGGCUGUGGGUGAGUCUUUGUUUUGUGUUCAAUACGGGUGAAUACAUACAUAUAAAUUCAUACUUAAAAGAUUGGAAUAAACUCAACUGUUUUAGGAAGCC